GACAGAGGAUGCAAGCGUUGUUCGGAAUUACUGGGCGUAAAGGGCUCGUAGGCGGUUUGUCGCGUCUGCCGUGAAAGUCCGGGGCUCAACUCCGGAUCUGCGGUGGGUACGGGCAGACUAGAGUGAUGUAGGGGAGACUGGAAUUCCUGGUGUAGCGGUGAAAUGCGCAGAUAUCAGGAGGAACACCGAUGGCGAAGGCAGGUCUCUGGGCAUUAACUGACGCUGAGGAGCGAAAGCAUGGGGAGCGAACAGG
This 253-nucleotide ribosomal RNA is filed under the name uncultured bacterium. RNAcentral's name for it is "partial 16S ribosomal RNA". It matches the Rfam family "Bacterial small subunit ribosomal RNA", at positions 524 to 776 of the family's 1533-position model. The record is from RNAcentral.